AAGCCAGGCAAUCAAUCUGCUCAUCUGAAUGUGUUUCUGCAGAAAUUUAGAAGUGGCUGGAAACAGUGGAGCCAUCUUAUGAGCCUUAAGGACAACUAAGGUCACUAUGAUUCCUCGAAAUGGCUAAAAUA
This is a small nucleolar RNA of Jaculus jaculus (lesser Egyptian jerboa), 131 nucleotides long. The record is from Ensembl. NCBI's taxonomy places the organism in Eukaryota, Metazoa, Chordata, Mammalia, Rodentia, Dipodidae.